AGAGUUCGAUUCUGGCUCAGAUUGAACGCUGGCGGGAUGCUUUACACAUGCAAGUCGAACGGCAGCACGGACUUCGGUCUGGUGGCGAGUGGCGAACGGGUGAGUAAUGUAUCGGAACGUGCCUAGUAGCGGGGGAUAACUACGCGAAAGCGUAGCUAAUACCGCAUACCGCCCUUCGGGGGAAAGCGGGGACCUUUCGGGCCUCGCACUAUUAGAGCGCCGAUAUCGGAUUAGCUAGUUGCGGGGUAACGGCUCACCAAGGCGACGAUCCGCAGCUGGUUUGAGAGGACGACCAGCCACACUGGGACUGAGACACGGCCCAGACUCCUACGGGAGGCAGCAGUGGGGAAUUUUGGACAAUGGGGGAAACCCUGAUCCAGCCAUCCACAGCGUGUGCGAUGAAGGCCUUCGGGUUGUAAAGCACUCUUCGCAGGUAAGAAACGGUACGGGAUAAUACCCGUGCAACUGACGGUACCUGCAGAAUAAGCACCGGCUAACUACGUGCCAGCAGCCGCGGUAAUACGUAGGGUGCAAGCGUUAAUCGGAAUUACUGGGUGUCAUGGGCAGCAGGUGCUCCGAAAGAAAGAUGCGGAAAUCCCAGAGCUUAACUUUGGAACUGCAUUUUUAACUACCGAGCUAGAGUGUGUCAGAGGGAGGUGGAAUUCCGCGUGUAGCAGGAAAUGCGUAGAUAUGCGGAGGAACACCGGAUGGCGAAGGCAGCCUCCUGGGAUACCGACGCUCAUACUGAAGUUGUGGGGGAGCAAACAGGAUUAGAUACCCUGUAGCCACGCCCUAAACGAUGUCAACUAGCUGUUGGGGCCUUCGGGCCUUGUAGCGCAGCUAACGCGUGAAGUUGACCGCCUGGGGCGUACGGUCGCAAGAUUAAAACUCAAAGGAAUCGAUAGGACCCGCGCCAAAGCGGUGGAUUACGGACACCCGAUGCAACGAAAACCUUACCUACCCUUGACAUGUUCCUGAAUCCCGAAGAGAUUUGGGAGUGCCUGCAAGAGAACCGGAACACAGGUGCUGCAUGGCUGUCGUCAUUUCGUAGUUAGAGAUGUUGGGUUGUUCUGGCAACGAGCGCAACCCUUGUCAUUAGUUUGCUACGAAAGGGCAUCGGCACGAGACUGCUGGGCAUAACCGAGGAAGGUGGGAUGACGUCAAGUCCUCAUGGCCUUGCGGUAAAGGCCACACGCCGCGCAAUGAACGGGACAGAGGGUCGCCAACCCCGGGCGAGGGGGAGCCAAUCCCAGAAACCUGAUCGAACCGAUCAGUUCGGGCAAAACUCUGACUGCGUGAAGUCGGAAUCGCUAGUAAUCGCGGAUCAGCAUGUCGCGGUGAAUACGUUCCCGGGUCUUGUACACACCGCCCGUCACACCAUGGGAGUGGGUUUUACCAGAAGUAGUUAGCCUAACCGUAAGGAGGUUAGAUUACCACGGAUUCAUGACUGGGUGAAGUCGUACUGCUGCAG
RNAcentral lists this ribosomal RNA (1471 nucleotides) under uncultured Bordetella sp. RNAcentral's name for it is "partial 16S-23S ribosomal RNA intergenic spacer". It matches the Rfam family "Bacterial small subunit ribosomal RNA". The record is from RNAcentral. Lineage: Bacteria; Pseudomonadati; Pseudomonadota; Betaproteobacteria; Burkholderiales; Alcaligenaceae.